RNAcentral lists this ribosomal RNA (101 nucleotides) under uncultured Alphaproteobacteria bacterium. RNAcentral's name for it is "partial 16S ribosomal RNA". Lineage: Bacteria; Pseudomonadati; Pseudomonadota; Alphaproteobacteria. The record is from RNAcentral.
UGCCGCGUGUGUGAUGAAGGCCUUAGGGUUGUAAAGCUCUUUUUACACUGAGAAAAACUUAGUAUCUGUACCUUCUUGACGGGACAGUACCAAUACAGAAC